CCUACGGGUGGCAGCAGUGAGGAAUAUUGGUCAAUGGCCGGAAGGCUGAACCAGCCAUGCCGCGUGAAGGUCAGUGCCCUAUGGGCGUUAAACUUCUUUUGUGCGGGAGCAAUAAUGGUCACGUGUGGCCAGACGAGAGUACCGUACGAAUAAGCAUCGGCUAACUCCGUGCCAGUAGCCGCGGUAAUUCGGGGGAUGCAAGCGUUAUCCGGAUUUUUUGGGGUUAAAGGGUGCGUAGGCGGUGAGGUAAGUCAGCGGGGAAAUGCCCCCGCGCAACGGGGUGAAGUGCCAUUGAUACUGGCUUGCUGGAAUGCGGAUGCCGUGGGAGGAAUGUGUGGUGUAGCGGUGAAAUGCAUAGAUAUCACACAGAACACCGAGUGCGAAGGCAUCUCACGGAUCCGCGAUUGACGCUGAUGCACGAAAGCGUGGGUAUCAAACAGGAUUAGAUACCCGAGUAGUC
RNAcentral lists this ribosomal RNA (460 nucleotides) under uncultured bacterium. Its description in RNAcentral is "partial 16S ribosomal RNA". It matches the Rfam family "Bacterial small subunit ribosomal RNA", at positions 338 to 795 of the family's 1533-position model. The record is from RNAcentral.